Molecule: ribosomal RNA, 577 nt
Filed under: uncultured bacterium
Lineage: Bacteria
Description: bacterial SSU rRNA
Rfam family: Bacterial small subunit ribosomal RNA
Source: RNAcentral
CCUACGGGAGGCAGCAGUGGGGAAUAUUGGACAAUGGGCGGAAGCCUGAUCCAGCAACGCCGCGUGAGGGAUGACGGCCUUCGGGUUGUAAACCUCUUUCAGUAUCGACGAAGCGCCCGUGUGGGUGGUGACGGUAGGUACAGAAGAAGCACCGGCCAACUACGUGCCAGCAGCCGCGGUAAUACGUAGGGUGCGAGCGUUGUCCGGAAUUAUUGGGCGUAAAGGGCUCGUAGGCGGUUUGUCGCGUCGGGAGUGAAAACACUGGGCUUAACCGAGUGCUUGCUUUCGAUACGGGCAGACUAGAGGUAUGCAGGGGAGAACGGAAUUCCUGGUGUAGCGGUGAAAUGCGCAGAUAUCAGGAGGAACACCGGUGGCGAAGGCGGUUCUCUGGGCAUUACCUGACGCUGAGGAGCGAAAGUGUGGGGAGCGAACAGGAUUAGAUACCCUGGUAGUCCACACCGUAAACGUUGGGCGCUAGGUGUGGGGCCUAUUCCAUGGGUUCCGUGCCGCAGCUAACGCAUUAAGCGCCCCGCCUGGGGAGUACGGCCGCAAGGCUAAAACUCAAAGGAAUUGACGG